GGGCGCAUAGCUCAGCGGGAGAGCACUGCCUUCACACGGCAGGGGNNGGGUCGUAGGUUCAAUCCCUACUGCGCCCACCA
This 80-nucleotide transfer RNA is filed under the name Desulfuromonas sp. Its description in RNAcentral is "tRNA-Val". It matches the Rfam family "tRNA". From Rfam's summary of the family: Transfer RNA (tRNA) molecules are approximately 80 nucleotides in length. The record is from RNAcentral. Lineage: Bacteria; Pseudomonadati; Thermodesulfobacteriota; Desulfuromonadia; Desulfuromonadales; Desulfuromonadaceae.